RNAcentral lists this ribosomal RNA (169 nucleotides) under Streptococcus pneumoniae. RNAcentral's name for it is "partial 16S ribosomal RNA". It matches the Rfam family "Bacterial small subunit ribosomal RNA", at positions 1 to 164 of the family's 1533-position model. Lineage: Bacteria; Bacillati; Bacillota; Bacilli; Lactobacillales; Streptococcaceae. The record is from RNAcentral.
UUUAAUGAGAGUUUGAUCCUGGCUCAGGACGAACGCUGGCGGCGUGCCUAAUACAUGCAAGUAGAACGCUGAAGAGAGGAGCUUGCUCUUCUUGGAUGAGUUGCGAACGGGUGAGUAACGCGUAGGUAACCUGCCUUGUAGCGGGGGAUAACUAUUGGAAACGAUAGCU